AAACCCUAAAACGGCACCUACUCUCUGAAUAUCACCUCCUAUUGAUUCCUAAGCCUAUUUUGAUCAUUGGCUGAUUUUGGUUAUAAAAUUUCUGGGUUUUCGUUAUUGAACCGUUCUUAAUCCGUUCCAAGAGACCCGUCGGCUGCUCGUGCUUUGGAGUCUACGCAGGGUUGGCUGUUUGCCAAGAUUCACGUGGAUAAGCAAGCAGUGAGUUUAUAUCGCUAUUUACCGCUUUAUUAAGUAAAUUGUAUUUUGUAUAUAUGUAUAUAUUGUAUAAACAGAUUUCGAACUGUU
This is a long non-coding RNA of Mercurialis annua (annual mercury), 294 nucleotides long. RefSeq lists it as uncharacterized. The transcript has 3 exons. The record is from RefSeq and is a predicted model, not a curated record. NCBI's taxonomy places the organism in Eukaryota, Viridiplantae, Streptophyta, Magnoliopsida, Malpighiales, Euphorbiaceae.